RNAcentral lists this ribosomal RNA (253 nucleotides) under uncultured bacterium. RNAcentral describes it as "partial 16S ribosomal RNA". It matches the Rfam family "Bacterial small subunit ribosomal RNA", at positions 524 to 776 of the family's 1533-position model. The record is from RNAcentral.
UACGGAGGGUUCAAGCGUUAUCCGGAUUUACUGGGGUUACAGGGUGCGUAGGCGUACUUUUAAGUCAGUGGUGAAAGCUCCGAGCUUAACUCGGAAACUGCCAUUGAUACUAUUAGUCUUGAAUUCGGUUGAGGUUGGCGGAAUGUGUCGUGUAGCGGUGAAAUGCUUAGAUAUGACACAGAAAACCGAUUGCGAAGGCAGCUAGCUAAACCGACAUUGACGCUGAGGCACGAAAGCGUGGGGAUAAAACAGG